UUGAGGUAUGAGUUUCUUGAUUUUAAUUCCUAUUAUGCCGCCAAUGUUAGAAUGAGUUAAACCGGAUUGAUUUUCUUGAAUUUUGUUAUGGGUUUACUUCAAUAUUUUAAAGAGUUACCAUAUCAGAUAUGUGAAACAAUCGUGUGAGGAGAUUUUGGCAAAUGAUGUAGAACAUUUUAUGGUGGUUAUUAUAUUACUGCAAUUAUCCUUUUUUAGAUUGACACGUGUAUUUUAUAUUAUAUGUUAAUAUUCUCAAGUUAAUGUGUUCAUCUCAUAAUAUUGUUUCCAUUCAAGUGGGGAGAUUCAACUGAUUGUGAUGUAGGACUCUCUUUAGCAUCUUUUGAUUUUUCUCUUUUUUUCUUUCAUUGCCUUAUGUUUUGUUCUCAUCCUCAAACUAUUUUUCUCUAAUUCCUCACCGAUAAUCCAAACCGAGCAGAAAAUCGUAUGAACCCUAAAAACGGAAUAUGAAAUUAAAUGGCACAGAGGAGGAAUCAAAGCCUAAAACGUUAGGGCUUUGAUUCCUCAUACCUAAUUCCACAUGGUGGUAACGACUUCAGUGUGUAUCAAGGAGGAAGAGACUCACCUACUAGGUGAAGAUUGGCCCCGGAGCUGUAGAAGUUGAAGAAGAAGAUGAUGAACAAGAGUAUCAGAAAUUAUGCAAUGAGGACUGGCUGGUGGGGUCAUGGCUUGGCUUUGAAGACAGCAUCAUAAUGGCAUGCAAGGUUGGCAAUGCAUGAAGAAUUUUAGCACUAAGGCAUGAAGGAUUUUGAAAACAUUGGAGGCUUGGAGAAUCACAAAGAUGGGAUGGCUUGUAAAUGAAGAAAAAUAGAAUAGGGUUUAGGAUAGGUCGUUGACUUUUGUCAAAUGUUUGACCAAAAAGUCAACAGUUGACCAAAAGUCAACUCUAGAUCGAAUUAGCAUUUUUUCUAUAGAAUUUUGUUUGACUUUUGUAAUGGAAUGUUUGAAGGUUUUGUGAUGGAAAUUGAUCUUUGAAUGGCAA
Long non-coding RNA from Lathyrus oleraceus (garden pea), 1000 nucleotides. RefSeq lists it as uncharacterized. The transcript has 2 exons. NCBI's taxonomy places the organism in Eukaryota, Viridiplantae, Streptophyta, Magnoliopsida, Fabales, Fabaceae. The record is from RefSeq and is a predicted model, not a curated record.